CAUUAAAAACCUAUCAUUCAAUAAAUUAAAUAUAUGUAAACACAUUUAUCAUAUGUAAAGUUAAAUAUAAUCUUCUUAAUCAUACCAACAACAGAAGGAUAUGAAGAAUCAGAACUACUAGGAGUAGUAGUUGCAACAGGUUGUAUGUCUAAGAGUUGUUGUAGAUGACUUGCUAUUCAAUCUAAAUUGAUGUAGGAUAUCUCAGAAAAAAACAAGGCAAAUAGGGCAAAACAAGUGAUAAAGCAUACAUCGGGAUCAAAAAGUUAUGCUCAAAUUCGAUAUGAACAGGCACAAAAGAAGGAGGAUCGAAGUGAGCCCAAUAGAAUUGAGAUGUUUGCCUUGACACACACAAGAAAAGAUGGGACGCCUGUUGAUGAUCAUUCUAAGGAGAUUAUGGAUCAAUUUCAACAAUUACUAUCCCAACCUGAGGAGACAUCUUCUUCUACUUUUGCAUCAUCUAGAGCAUCUACAUCUGUAUCAUCUACAUCUGUAGCAUCUACAUAUGUAGAUGAGAUAUAUACUCAAGUCAUGGGUCUAGAGAGGCAUGGUCAUGUUCGAGAGUAUGGAUUUGGUCCUACUCUUACCUCAAUCUUUGGUUCUACUAGUAGAAGGCGAUCAGGAGUUAUUCUUUCAACACAACUUGAAAACGCCCAAGAAAGAGAUGCUAAUAGCUGCAGAACAAAAGUUUACAACUACAACUGAAGAACUCUCAAAUGUGAAAGAUGAACUCUCACAUGUGAAAGAAACAUUUGAAGAGAGGUUGAUAGAAGUUCAAAAGAAGACACGUGAAGAAGUGAAAGAAGAAUUUGAAGAAAAAAUGAUGGAAAUGCAAAGAAAAAUGCAAGCAUAAAUGCAAGCACAAAUUCAAGAACAAAUGAUGCAAAUGAUGCAAAUGAUGCAACAAUUUUAGCAAAAGUAGUAGACAUUUGAAGAUUUUGCUACAUCUUUAUUUGAUAGAUUCUCUUAACUUUUUUGAAGAUUAUGCUACUUAUUUAUAUGAUAGA
Long non-coding RNA from Vitis riparia (riverbank grape), 1004 nucleotides. RefSeq lists it as uncharacterized. Lineage: Eukaryota; Viridiplantae; Streptophyta; Magnoliopsida; Vitales; Vitaceae. The record is from RefSeq and is a predicted model, not a curated record. The transcript is spliced from 3 exons.